This 461-nucleotide ribosomal RNA is filed under the name uncultured bacterium. Its description in RNAcentral is "SSU rRNA". It matches the Rfam family "Bacterial small subunit ribosomal RNA", at positions 26 to 518 of the family's 1533-position model. The record is from RNAcentral.
AGAAUCAACGCUGGCGGCGUGCCUAACACAUGCAAGUCGAACGAGAAAGUGGUAGCAAUACCAUGAGUAAAGUGGCGCACGGGUGAGUAACACGUGACUAACCUACCCUGGAGUGGGGGAUAACUGGGAGAAAUCCUAGCUAAUACCGCAUAAUACCUACGGGUCAAAGGAGCAAUUCGCUUCAGGAGGGGGUCGCGGCCGAUUAGUUAGUUGGCGGGGUAAUGGCCCACCAAGACGAUGAUCGGUAUCCGGCCUGAGAGGGCGCACGGACACACUGGAACUGAAACACGGUCCAGACUCCUACGGGAGGCAGCAGUGGGGAAUUUUGCGCAAUGGGGGAAACCCUGACGCAGCAACGCCGCGUGGAGGAUGAAGUCCUUCGGGACGUAAACUCCUUUCGAUCGGGACGAUUAUGACGGUACCGGAAGAAGAAGCCCCGGCUACUUCGCGCCAGCAGCCGC